This 72-nucleotide transfer RNA is filed under the name bacterium. RNAcentral describes it as "tRNA-His". It matches the Rfam family "tRNA". From Rfam's summary of the family: Transfer RNA (tRNA) molecules are approximately 80 nucleotides in length. The record is from RNAcentral. RNAcentral also lists the same sequence under 4 other names.
GUGCCCAUAGUGUAGCGGUUAACACUAGAGUUUGUGGAACUCUCAUCACGGGUUCGAAUCCCGUUGGGCACC